This 207-nucleotide ribosomal RNA is filed under the name uncultured bacterium. Its description in RNAcentral is "partial 16S ribosomal RNA". It matches the Rfam family "Bacterial small subunit ribosomal RNA", at positions 1292 to 1500 of the family's 1533-position model. The record is from RNAcentral.
UUCGGAUUGCAGCCUGCAACUCGGCUGCAUGAAGCCGGAAUCGCUAGUAAUCGCGGAUCAGAAUGCCGCGGUGAAUACGUUCCCGGGUCUUGUACACACCGCCCGUCACACCAUGGGAGUCGGGAAUGCCCGAAGUCGGUGAGCUAACGAAAGAGGCAGCCGCCGAAGGCAGGCCCGGUAACUGGGGUGAAGUCGUAACAAGGUACC